Molecule: ribosomal RNA, 229 nt
Filed under: uncultured bacterium
Lineage: Bacteria
Description: partial 16S ribosomal RNA
Rfam family: Bacterial small subunit ribosomal RNA
Source: RNAcentral
UGAGCAACCUGCCCUUGACUCUGGAAUAACAGUUGGAAACAGCUGCUAAUACCGGAUACGACCUUUGAUGGCAUCAUCGAAGGUGGAAAGCUCCGACGGUCAAGGAUGGGCUCGCGGCCUAUCAGCUUGUUGGUGAGGUAACGGCUCACAAGGCUUCGACGGGUAGCCGGCCUGAGAGGGCGACCAGCCACACUGGAACUGAGAUACGGUCCAGACUCCGUAGGACGGA